CGUAACGGACGGAGCGCGUGGAAAUCGGUGUCGCUCGUCUCGCGGCGAGACUCCGCUCGCGCCACAGCGCCGUUCGGCUGACUCGCGUCCCCCCUUUUUUCCUCCCCCCCUCCGGAAAAAAAAAAAAAAAAAAAACUGGGCGCAGGAGUCCCUUCGCCGGUUUACUCCUCGCCCGGGUACACCGUUUUGUGCGGUCGUUUCUCUUUUUUUGUUCGCACCAGUAGAAAAUGUCGCGUUCAAGUGUUUUCAGCCCUUUGUAUAGGAGGAGAGGUACGUGCUGCUCUCAGCAAGCAGCGCUCGCUCGGUCUUCUUCCCGUCGUCGUUCUGCGCGACCGUGUGUGUCUCGCUAACCCCCUGUUUUUCCCACAAUUAUCAGUCAAGGGCCCAAUAAAAUAAAUAGAAUGGCAGAAACGGACCUCUUUGCCAUAAUCCCUAUAUCCUGCACAGAUAUAUAACUAAAUUAUUUGAACGAAACGUAAACUGGCAUGUGUGUGGAUUGAACCGCGCUGCGGGCGCCUGCUCCAGCCACGCUGGCGUCCUCUGUGGCGGUCGGUGUACCAAAUCGAGUCCCCGGAUGCAGGGAGAAGUAGGGCCGAACGCAGAGCUUCAGCCUGUUCGGGGGCCGCCGAGAAGGAUGCAAAAGCUGCUGCUACCAACCAAUCAACUAGCACGUGAACGAUCAACAAUAACCUCGCGUAUGCAAAAUUAUAAACAUCAAGGUCAUGGGAACUAGAGCCUACCCAGCAACUCAGGGCAUAAGGCCAGAGAGGGAGGGGACACACCCAGGACAGGAUGCCAGUCCACCCCAAGCAGGACUCAAACCCCAGACCCACCAGAGAGGAGAACCUGGCCCAACCCACUGCACCACCGCACCCCCUAAGGCCUGAGAACAUCGAUUUAUAAACUAACCUGUAAGUUUGCACUGCAGUUUUUAAAUCACGUGUGAGUUUAACCAAGGCUUUGAGGAUUUGCCCAACAUAUGUCCUAAUUUUUUGCGUAUGAUCACAAUAUUAGAGUGAAAAUAAAUGAAGCAGCAAAUAACUGGAAAUAAACGAA
RNAcentral lists this long non-coding RNA (1056 nucleotides) under Scleropages formosus (Asian bonytongue). RNAcentral's name for it is "lncRNA (ENSSFOG00015025945.1)". The record is from RNAcentral. Lineage: Eukaryota; Metazoa; Chordata; Actinopteri; Osteoglossiformes; Osteoglossidae.